This 696-nucleotide ribosomal RNA is filed under the name uncultured bacterium. RNAcentral describes it as "bacterial SSU rRNA". It matches the Rfam family "Bacterial small subunit ribosomal RNA", at positions 66 to 797 of the family's 1533-position model. The record is from RNAcentral.
ACGGAGAAUUGCUAGCUUGCUAAUAAUUCUCUAGUGGCGCACGGGUGAGUAACACGUGAGUACCUGCCCCCAAGAGUGGGAUAGCCCCGGGAAACUGGGAUUAAUACCGCAUAAAGCAAUAAAGCAGCAAUGCGCUUGGGGAUGGGCUCGCGUCCUAUUAGUUAGUUGGCGAGGUAACGGCUCACCAAGGCGAUGACGGGUAGCCGGUCUGAGAGGAUGUCCGGCCACACUGGAACUGAGACACGGUCCAGACACCUACGGGUGGCAGCAGUCGAGAAUCAUUCACAAUGGGGGAAACCCUGAUGGUGCGACGCCGCGUGGGGGAUAAGGUCUUCGGAUUGUAAACCCCUGUCAUGUGGGACAUUAAAAGAUAGUACCACAAGAGGAAGAGACGGCUAACUCUGUGCCAGCAGCCGCGGUAAUACAGAGGUCUCAAGCGUUGUUCGGAAUCACUGGGCGUAAAGCGUGCGUAGGCGGUUUCGUAAGUCGUGUGUGAAAGGCGGGGGCUCAACCCCCGGACUGCACAUGAUACUGCGAGACUAGAGUAAUGGAGGGGGAACCGGAAUUCUCGGUGUAGCAGUGAAAUGCGUAGAUAUCGAGAGGAACACUCGUGGCGAAGGCGGGUUCCUGGACAUUAACUGACGCUGAGGCACGAAGGCCAGGGGAGCGAAAGGGAUUAGAUACCCCUGUAGUCCU